This 526-nucleotide ribosomal RNA is filed under the name uncultured bacterium. RNAcentral's name for it is "bacterial SSU rRNA". It matches the Rfam family "Bacterial small subunit ribosomal RNA", at positions 338 to 852 of the family's 1533-position model. The record is from RNAcentral.
CCUACGGGAGGCAGCAGUGAGGAAUAUUGGACAAUGGGCGCAAGCCUGAUCCAGCCAUGCCGCGUGCAGGAAGAAGCAUCUAUGGUGUGUAAACUGCUUUUGUACAGGAAGAAACACUCCCUCGUGAGGGAGCUUGACGGUACUGUAAGAAUAAGGACCGGCUAACUCCGUGCCAGCAGCCGCGGUAAUACGGAGGGUCCGAGCGUUAUCCGGAAUCAUUGGGUUUAAAGGGUCCGUAGGCGGUUUAAUAAGUCAGUGGUGAAAUCUGGUCGCUCAACGAUCAAACGGCCAUUGAUACUGUUAGACUUGAAUUAUAAGGAAGUAACUAGAAUAUGUAGUGUAGCGGUGAAAUGCUUAGAUAUUACAUGGAAUACCAAUUGCGAAGGCAGGUUACUACUUAUGGAUUGACGCUGAUGGACGAAAGCGUUGGGGGAGGACGACGAGAGUAGUAUACCUACGUAGUACGACCGACCGUAACGUAACGUAGUAGUACUAGUACGUGUUCGGUACGACGAACUACUGUAGU